RNAcentral lists this long non-coding RNA (1596 nucleotides) under Sorghum bicolor (sorghum). RNAcentral describes it as "long non-coding RNA (SBIC_LNC003768)". The record is from RNAcentral. Lineage: Eukaryota; Viridiplantae; Streptophyta; Magnoliopsida; Poales; Poaceae.
CGACUUUCCCGGUUUCUAUAUGCAUGGUGAGCCACAGACAAGGACUUCCGCCAACUUCUAUGCGAGGAUAGUGGUCCAAUAUUUGCUGCAGCUAAGCUGGUUUCACCUGUUAUACAUUUCAUGAAAAUGUGUAUAAACAUGCAGCCGGCAUCGGGUUUUGAUUGGAGUUGGUGGUGGAUCGGAGUACCCACUACCCACUAGAUCGAGGGCCACACCUAGUGAAUAAACCAAUUGGUAAAUAGGCGGUGUUCGCUGCAGUGCAGCUUAGAUGUAGCAUACCUGGUAAGCAUUCACUAGUGAUAUGCCCUAUCAAGAUAUACACAUGGUUUAGGAAAAUAUAUAAUUAAGGUUGUUGACCAUCAUUUAGGGAGAAGUCCAUUUUUAGCGCCCAACUAUUGUCCGAGUUUGUUUUGAUUGUCCUACAAGUCUAAAUCUAGAAGUUUUUUUUGUCACCGAACUAUUAAUAUCAGAUAAAUUUGGCGGUUUAGUUAAUUAGUUUCGUAAGUGGUUUUAUAUUAAUCAAAAUAAUAAAAUCUAGUUUAUUUUCUAAAAUGUAAGGAACUCAUUUUAGAACUACUACAAUCUUUGUUUCUGAAAUUAACAUAUGUACCGUCAUGCUAGAUUUGUUCUUGUAUCUAGUGUUUUAUUGCUCGUGCCCAUUAUUUAUUCAAAUCAUUAUUUUUGUGUGCUAUAAAUCGACCGUCAUGUUGAAAAGCUAACACCACCAUCCCUUGUACCACCCCUGGCUCCAUAAGGGGAGUGUGAGGUCGAGGUAGAGCUACCCUGCAUCAAGGUGAAGCCAUAUGACAACAACGUCUACUCGGUUGUACGCCAUCCAUCCCCACAAACUCCACUUGGAAGAGCCACCUCCAAAGCGAAUUCCUAGGAAACACUCGCAUAACACCAUGAAGAUGGUGAGGCGGGCGAUGCCACUAUUUUACGAACGUUCAGUAGAAACGAAAGCAGCGUCAAUUUUCGACAGCUAUUUUUUUUCUUUUUUUGAAACUGCAUAUGUUACUUUCUAUUUUUGGACAGAACAGGAAUCAUUUCUCUUUCUCUUUUGAGGCAUUCGAUUCACUUUUCACUUUCUUUUGCUAGAUCACCCGCCAUUUAAUAUUUUUUUUUAAUUUUUUUAAGAAGCAAGCCCUCAUAACUUAUAAAACAGAAUUAAAAAGCAUAACUUUCACGAUAAACUUAACAGUACUAACUUAGAAGUGCUUCUAGACAACAUAAGUUCGAGGAAUAACUCAACAUUGCUAACUUAGUCGUUCUCAAAAAGUUAUAGUAUAUAACUUAUGUACAUAAGUUUACUCCUACUAUUUCAAAUUAUAAGGCAUAUUGACUUUUUCUAAAUUGAAUUCACUAUGUAUCUAGACACAACUAUAUAUGUAUACACAUAGCAAAAUCAAUAUAUGUAGAAAUAUCAAAACAUAUUAUAAUUUGGAAUAGAGAGAGACAUAAGUUACACAAUACAACUUAUGUACAUAAGUUACACAAGUAAUACACUAGUGUAUAUAGAAAGUUAUGCAGUUAUUAUACACAAACAGAAGUUAUACAAUACAACUUAGCAGAAUAGGUUAGCAACAUAACUUAGCA